RNAcentral lists this long non-coding RNA (3894 nucleotides) under Gossypium barbadense (sea-island cotton). RNAcentral's name for it is "long non-coding RNA (GBAR_LNC010849)". Lineage: Eukaryota; Viridiplantae; Streptophyta; Magnoliopsida; Malvales; Malvaceae. The record is from RNAcentral.
AACUACCGACAGCCCGGCAUGCUUACUAGUUACCACCAUCCGAGGAGAUAGAUUCAAAAUCUCCCAAAUCACCUUCGUUCAAAAUCAUGCUUCCUCUCCAUCGUUUUUAACCUUAAAAUACGAAAUAAAAAAACCCUUAACCCUCGUUAGAAAAAAAAAGCCUAAUCCAUUCAAAUCCAUUAGUUUAGAACCAAAUACAAAGAUCUUUAUGUCUAAGCCUUGCGUUUUCAUUUGGCUUUUUUUAUUUAUAGGUUUGAUUUUCUUUGAUUUGUGGGGUUUUUCCUUUUAUUCUCUUGCUUUGGUUUGAUUUUUAUACUUAUUUAUUAUUUUGUAAGAGCUAGUGUAUGUUUAUCUAUGGAUUUCGUUAAAUUUUUGUUUGGACAUUGCCUUAUUAUAGUCUUGAUCCAAUUCCGGGUUCCUUUUCUUCUUUAUCGGUUUCCAUUGAUGUUGCGAUUGGUCACACACGACCGUGUCCUAACAAUUUAGGGUUACACGGUCAAGUCACAAGCCCGUGUCUCGGGGCCGUGUCCUUCACACGGCUGAGACACACAGCCGUGUCUCUACCCAAAUGGCCAAAAAAAUGGCUAUUUAUCAAGCCAUUUGUCACCAUCAUUUAUACACUCACAUACACACUUUCAAUGGCACUUAACAUGGCACAAUUAAGCUAUCAACACAACCAUAAUUAAGGCUUAAAUAAAGAAUUACACGGGUUGAGGACACGGGCGUGUGUAUCCAUACAGCCUACCCAAAUGGGCGUGUGACCCCUAUUUUGAUGAAAAUUUUUUGAGUUUUCCAAAGUUCUCGGUUUAGUCCCGAACCACUUUCAAUGUAUGUUUUGAGCCACGUAAGCCCGUAAUAGGGACGAUAUGCAUGUGAAUGAAAUGUUUUAAAUUUGGAUGAAAAUUCAUGUCUUGGUUUGUAUGAUUGUGUGAGUUUAUGUCCGGUAACGUCUCGUACUCUAUUCCGACAUCGAAUACAGGUAAGGGGUGUUACAGGAACAGAGUUUUGACAUGAAGAGUCCAGCUUCUGAAAACUUUCAAGAUUAUUCUAAACAAUUGGAUUUAGCAGAUCAGGUUCUAGAAAGCCCUAUUCCUAUGUUGUCAUUACAUGCUCUCUAAGGAUUGUAGGGACAUAACACUAGGAGAUUUCCAACUGUAAUUGGUCACACUGAGGUGGUUGUAUUAGUGGACCCCGGCAGCACACACAAUUUUAUAGAUUUUAAGAUGGCUAAAAUAUUAAAUUUGGCAGUAGAAUCGGGGAGUAGAUUGCGAGUGAUGGUGGCCAACGGAGUUCGAUUGUCUACUCAAGUUCUGUGUAGGGCGAUUUUUUGGGAAGCACAAGGUUAUAAUUUCACCAUUAAUUUCUUAAUUUUAUCAGUGAAGGGAUUUGGCUUGGUGCUUGGCAUUCAUUGGUUGUUAUCUCUUAGUCCUAUUGUAUGGAAUUUCUCCAAUUUGACUAUGCAGUUUAAUCAUAUGGGGCAGAACUGCAUCCUGCUAGGUAUAGUACCAGGUUCACUACAUAUUGUUCCCAGUAGUCAACUGUCCAAAUGCCUGAGUUUGGUAGGUAAUGGCCCAUGCCCUAUGCUACUGACUUCUUGUGAUUAAAUUACUCUAACGAUACAGCCAAUUCAGUUGCCACCCAAUUUGCAAAGUCUCCUUAAUCAAUUUGAAGAUAUAUUUCAGACUCCUACAGGCCUACCUCAUCCUCGAUUACAAGACCACAGGAUUCCCUUGAUAGAUGAGUCUAAGGUAGUUAAGGUGAGGCCUUUAGGUAUCCUGCAGUCCAAAAAACUGAAAUAGAGAAAUUGAUACAGGAAAUGUUGCAAGCUGGAAUAAUCAGAGAUAGCAACAGCCCAUUUGCAUCUCCUGUUGUUAUGGUCAAGAAAAAAGAUAGCAGUUGGAGGCUGUAUAUUGACUACAAGCAGCUUAACUAACUGACCAUCAAAGACAGGUUCCCUAUUCCUAUUAUUGAAGAACUUCUAGAUGAUAAUUAUUUCUCCAAAUUGGAUUUGCGUUCGGGCUAUCAUCAAAUUCAAAUGUGGGAGUAGAAUGUGUACAAAACAGCUUUUAAAACUCAUGCUAGCAUUAUGAAUUCUUAGUCAUGCCAUUUGGCUUGACCAAUGCUCCAUCUAGCUUCAAAUCAUUGAUGAAUUCAGUCUUUCAAUCCUUCUUGCGGAGAUCGAUUCUUAUUUUUUUGAUGAUAUCCUUGUGUACUCCCAAAAAUGGACUGACCAUUUGACUCAUUUGCAUGAGGUGCUACAAAUGUUGAGAUCUAAUCAACUUUAAGCUAAGAGAUCCAAGUGCAUUUUUGGAGCUACUCAGGUAGAGUAUCUUGGACAUGUUAUCUCUCAAGGAGUUGUCAGUAUGGAUCGAACCAAUAUGGCUGGUGUUCUGGGUUGGUCCCUCCAAAGUCUGUCUAGGAGUUACGAGGCUUCCUUGGAUUGUUCGGGUAUUACAGACGGUUCAUCAAGGGGUAUGGAUUACUGGCUAAGCCCCCCACUACCUUAUUUAAAAAAGAUGUUACAUGGCAAUGGAUAGUGUUGGAGUAGACUACUUUCGAUUAGCUCAAAACAGUUGUUUGUCAAGCUCCAGUCCUUGCUUGGCCAAAUUUUUAUGAACCUUUUUUUGUGGAAACAAAUGCUAGUGGCCAAGGGGUCGGGGCUAUUUUGCAGUAGAAUGAAAAGCUAGUGGCGUACUUCAGCAAAGCGUUGGAAGUCAAGUAUUAAGCUUUGUCCAUCUAUGACAAAGAGAUGCUUGCAGUGCUGUUAGUAGUUAAGAAAUGGCAUAUCUAUCUUGUUGGUAGACAUUUCUUAAUCAAGACAAAUCGCAGAGCUUGAAAUUUCUAUCCGAACAGUAAGCAAUUACACUUUACCAGCAGAAGUGGGUUGCUAAGAUGCUGGGAUAUGAUUAUUCGAUCUCUAUCGGAAGGGAGCUCAAAAUACAGUUGCAUACGUUUUGUCCAAGAAACCUCAUGACCACAUUCAUCAACUCUUCCAAUGUGAAGGAAGUCUUGACUCUUCUUGGUCUAAGGUAUAUGAAUACAUUAUUGUUUCACAUGCGACAAAUAAGAAGCUACAUCAGUUGUGUCAAGAUGUUCAAACACAACCCCAAUUGCAUCCCAAGUACUCGUGGCAUGGUACAUUCCUUUGCAAGCUAAGCAAAAUUGUGGUAGGGAAUGAUAUCCAGCUUUGAAGACAAAUCUUUGGUCUUUUCCAUGACAGUGCUUUGGGAGGUCAUUCUGGCAUCCAUGCCACUCGUCACAGGAUAUCUGUUUUUCUCUGUUGGAAGGGGGCUCUCUAAAGAUGUUAAGUAUUGGGUACGAGAGUGUGUAGUUUGCUAGCGCUACAAAACUGAUAACUCUGCUUCACUUGGGCUUUUGCAACCCUUACCUAUACCCUAUCGUGCUUGGUAUGAAAUUUGAAUCAGAAUUUCUCAGUAUUCUCUUAUUCUUUUCUCUCUCAAUCUCAGAAUUUCUAUUUCCUUAUUGUUCCAGAUCCAUUACGUGACAAAUUGACAAGGGGUUUUCAAUAUUAAAAGGGUUUAAUGAGUGAAACUCUGACCAAAGCAGUCAAAAUAAAGUAGAUGGGUAGAGAGGGUACCUCAGAAUAAAGUCGAUUGAAGAAGACAUUGGCGUUUUAAGAAGUUCUAGAAUAUUAGGAGAGGUGCCUUUGAUUCUGUCACAAGUUUUUGACAAAAUAAUUGACCAGUCAGGAGAACAGGAACUGCAGGGAUUUGAAUGGAUUUGAAAAGAGCUUCGAUCGUUGAAAUGGCUGGCUUUUAAGUUGGUGUGUCGUUUGGGGUUUUCUUUUUGUUUUUGGAAAUUGUUUAGGUUUUUUUAGGAUUACAUUUUAGCUUCCUCUGUGUGUGUGUGUGUUUUUUUAUUGUUUUCUUUAAU